UACGUAGGGUGCGAGCGUUGUCCGGAAUUAUUGGGCGUAAAGGGCUCGUAGGCGGUUUGUCACGUCGGGAGUGAAAACUCGGGGCUUAACCCCGAGCCUGCUUCCGAUACGGGCAGACUAGAGGUAUGCAGGGGAGAACGGAAUUCCUGGUGUAGCGGUGAAAUGCGCAGAUAUCAGGAGGAACACCGGUGGCGAAGGCGGAUCUCUGGGCCUUACCUGACGCUCAGGUGCGAAAGCUAGGGGAGCGAACAGG
RNAcentral lists this ribosomal RNA (253 nucleotides) under uncultured bacterium. RNAcentral describes it as "partial 16S ribosomal RNA". It matches the Rfam family "Bacterial small subunit ribosomal RNA", at positions 524 to 776 of the family's 1533-position model. The record is from RNAcentral.